Molecule: ribosomal RNA, 459 nt
Filed under: uncultured bacterium
Lineage: Bacteria
Description: partial 16S ribosomal RNA
Rfam family: Bacterial small subunit ribosomal RNA
Source: RNAcentral
CCUACGGGAGGCAGCAGUGAGGAAUAUUGGUCAAUGGGCGCGAGCCUGCACCAGCCAAGUAGCGUGAAGGAUGACUGCCCUACGGGUUGUAAACUUCUUUUAUAAAGGAAUAAAGUGAGGCACGUGUGCCUUUUGUAUGUACUUUAUGAAUAAGGAUCGGCUAACUCCGUGCCAGCAGCCGCGGUAAUACGGAGGAUCCGAGCGUUAUCCGGAUUUAUUGGGUUUAAAGGGAGCGUAGGCGGGUUGUUAAGUCAGUUGUGAAAGUUUGCGGCUCAACCGUAAAAUUGCAGUUGAUACUGGCAUCCUUGAGUACAGUAGAGGUAGGCGGAAUUCGUGGUGUAGCGGUGAAAUGCUUAGAUAUCACGAAGAACUCCGAUUGCGAAGGCAGCCUGCUGGACUGUAACUGACGCUGAUGCUCGAAAGUGUGGGUAUCAAACAGGAUUAGAUACCCUAGUAGUC